AUGCAUAUAUGCAUGUCAUUUGACCUCAAAUCAGGUAGGACUACCCGCUGAACUUAAGCAUAUCAAUAAGCGGAGGAAAAGAAACUAACAAGGAUUCCCCUAGUAACGGCGAGUGAAGAGGGAAAAGCUCAAAUUUGAAAUCUGGCAGUCUACGGCUGUCCGAGUUGUAAUCUAGAGAAGUGUUUUCCGUGCUGGACCGUGUACAAGUCCUUUGGAACAAGGCGUCAUAGAGGGUGAGAAUCCCGUCUACGACACGGACUACCAGUGCUCUGUGAUACACUCUCAACGAGUCGAGUUGUUUGGGAAUGCAGCUCAAAAUGGGUGGUAAAUUCCAUCUAAAGCUAAAUACAGGCGAAAGACCGAUAGCGAACAAGUACCGUGAGGGAAAGAUGAAAAGCACUUUGGAAAGAGAGUUAAACAGUACGUGAAAUUGUUGAAAGGGAAACGCUUGAAGUCAGUCGCGUCUUCAGAAAUUCAGCCUGGCUUUUGCCUGGUGUACUUUUCUGUUGGACGGGCCAGCAUCAGUUUUGGCCGCCAGAAAAAGGUGGGAGGAAGGUGGCACCUCCGGGUGUGUUAUAGCCUCUCAUCGUAUGUGGCGGCUGGGACUGAGGACCGCAGCACGCCUUUAAUGGCCGGGGUUCGCCCACGUAACGUGCUUAGGAUGCUGGCGUAAUGGCUUUAAACGACCCGUCUUGAAACACGGACCAAGGAGUCUAACAUGCCUGCGAGUAUUUGGGUGGUAAACCCAUAUGCGGAAUGAAAGUGAACAGUUGGGACUUCUGUCAUGGAAGGCACCGACGCCCGGACCAGACCUAUUGUGACGGAUCCGAGGUAGAGCAUGUAUGUUGGGACCCGAAAGAUGGUGAACUAUGCCUGAGUAGGGUGAAGCCAGAGGAAACUCUGGUGGAGGCUCGUAGCGAUUCUGACGUGCAAAUCGAUCGUCGAACUUGGGUAUAGGGGCGAAAGACUAAUCGAAC
This 977-nucleotide ribosomal RNA is filed under the name Geastrum austrominimum. RNAcentral describes it as "eukaryotic LSU rRNA". It matches the Rfam family "Eukaryotic large subunit ribosomal RNA", at positions 1 to 940 of the family's 3401-position model. The record is from RNAcentral. Lineage: Eukaryota; Fungi; Basidiomycota; Agaricomycetes; Geastrales; Geastraceae.